This is a small nucleolar RNA of Podarcis muralis (Common wall lizard), 125 nucleotides long. Ensembl annotates it as small nucleolar RNA SNORA28. Its record names the gene SNORA28. The record is from Ensembl. NCBI's taxonomy places the organism in Eukaryota, Metazoa, Chordata, Lepidosauria, Squamata, Lacertidae.
AAGCAACACUCUGUGGCAGAUAAUUAGCUGUCUGCUUCAAUUUAAGCUUGCUAUAGUAAGCAUAGUCUGACCUAUUCCAGUGGCCUCUGUAGGUGAGGCCAUCUGUUAUAUAGACUCUUAACAUC